GUUUUGUAUGAAAGGAAAGAAAAGAACGGUCAGUGUUCUCCUUGACAAGGAUACAAGAAGUACUUGAGUCUAACAAUAUGCAUAUGAUGAAGAUACAUAUUGUCACCUACUUUUUGGCAUUUAUCCACUGUUUUUU
Non-coding RNA from Mesocricetus auratus (golden hamster), 136 nucleotides. The record is from Rfam. NCBI's taxonomy places the organism in Eukaryota, Metazoa, Chordata, Mammalia, Rodentia, Cricetidae.